CAACCCUCAAGCUCUGCUUGGUCUUGGGCGUCACCGGUCCGCCGGUGUGCCCUAAAAUCAGUGGCGGCGCCAUCUGGCUCUAAGCGUAGUACAUACUCUCGCUACAGACGUCCGGUGGAUGCUGGCCAGCAACCCCCAAUUUAUCAG
This 147-nucleotide unclassified non-coding RNA is filed under the name uncultured Pezicula. RNAcentral describes it as "sequence contains ITS2". Lineage: Eukaryota; Fungi; Ascomycota; Leotiomycetes; Helotiales; Dermateaceae. The record is from RNAcentral.